UUGACCUCGGAUCAGGUAGGGAUACCGCUGAACUUAGC
RNAcentral lists this ribosomal RNA (38 nucleotides) under vouchered mycorrhizae (Humaria). Its description in RNAcentral is "partial 28S ribosomal RNA". The record is from RNAcentral. Lineage: Eukaryota; Fungi; Ascomycota; Pezizomycetes; Pezizales; Pyronemataceae.